RNAcentral lists this ribosomal RNA (602 nucleotides) under uncultured bacterium. Its description in RNAcentral is "bacterial SSU rRNA". It matches the Rfam family "Bacterial small subunit ribosomal RNA", at positions 56 to 663 of the family's 1533-position model. The record is from RNAcentral.
UGCAGUCGACGAUGAACCUCACUUGUGGGGGGAUUAGUGGCGAACGGGUGAGUAACACGUGAGUAACCUGCCCUUGACUCUGGGAUAAGCCUGGGAAACCGGGUCUAAUACUGGAUACGACCUUCCCGCGCAUGCGGUGUUGGUGGAAAGCUUUUGUGGUUUUGGAUGGACUCGCGGCCUAUCAGCUUGUUGGUGGGGUAAUGGCCUACCAAGGCGACGACGGGUAGCCGGCCUGAGAGGGUGACCGGCCACACUGGGACUGAGACACGGCCCAGACUCCUACGGGAGGCAGCAGUGGGGAAUAUUGCACAAUGGGCGCAAGCCUGAUGCAGCGACGCCGCGUGAGGGAUGAAGGCCUUCGGGUUGUAAACCUCUUUCAGUAGGGAAGAAGCCGGCCCUUUGGGUUGGUGACGGUACCUGCAGAAGAAGCGCCGGCUAACUACGUGCCAGCAGCCGCGGUAAUACGUAGGGCGCAAGCGUUAUCCGGAAUUAUUGGGCGUAAAGAGCUCGUAGGCGGUUUGUCGCGUCUGCCGUGAAAGUCCGGGGCUUAACUCCGGAUCUGCGGUGGGUACGGGCAGACUAGAGUGCAGUAGGGGAGACUG